RNAcentral lists this ribosomal RNA (373 nucleotides) under uncultured organism. Its description in RNAcentral is "bacterial SSU rRNA". It matches the Rfam family "Bacterial small subunit ribosomal RNA", at positions 527 to 896 of the family's 1533-position model. The record is from RNAcentral.
GGGGGGAGCAAGCGUUGUUCGGAUUUACUGGGCGUAAAGGGCGCGUAGGCGGCCACCGCAAGUCGACUGUGAAAUCUCCGGGCUUAACCCGGAAAGGUCAGCCGAUACUGCGGGGCUAGAGUGCAGAAGGGGCAACUGGAAUUCUCGGUGUAGCGGUGAAAUGCGUAGAUAUCGAGAGGAACACCUGCGGCGAAGGCGGGUUGCUGGGCUGACACUGACGCUGAUGCGCGAAAGCUAGGGGAGCGAACGGGAUUAGAUACCCCGGUAGUCCUAGCCUUAAACGAUGAAUGCUUGGUGUCUGGGGUUAUAUAGUCCCCGGGUGCCGUCGCUAACGCUUUAAGCAUUCCGCCUGGGGAGUACGGUCGCAAGACUG